RNAcentral lists this long non-coding RNA (338 nucleotides) under Setaria viridis. RNAcentral's name for it is "long non-coding RNA (SVIR_LNC008366)". The record is from RNAcentral. Lineage: Eukaryota; Viridiplantae; Streptophyta; Magnoliopsida; Poales; Poaceae.
GAUGGUGACGUAGGGAACACGAUUUAGACAGGUCUGGGCCGCUAGAUCGUGUAAUACCCUACGUCCUGUGUGUGGAUUGUAUUGAUGAGUUGUGUUGCGUUCUUUGGAGGGGAUUCCUGCCCGCCCUUAUAUACUCGGGAGAGUAGGGUUACAGGGUAGAGUCCUAGUCGAACACGGUUACAGAGUUCUACUCCAAAUCGGUAGAGUAGUUUCCUUGAGUAAUCCAACUAGUCUUCAGGAGUCCGUGUAGGCUACGUUACCUUGCGGCGUAGCCAAGUGCUGAUCACGUCCGAGUAUGCCCUUGGGUAGGUCGUACAAGGCCUACUCGUGGGCCUGGG